AAGACAGGGUUUUAAGUAAAAGUAAUUAUACCGUGAAACUGCGAAUGGCUCAUUAAAUCAGUUAUCGUUUAUUUGAUAGUACCUUACUACUUGGAUAACCGUGGUAAUUCUAGAGCUAAUACAUGCUUACAACCUCGACUUCGGAAGGGGUGUAUUUAUUAGAUAAAAAACCAACGCCCUUCGGGGCUUCUUGGUGAUUCAUGAUAACUUUACGGAUCGCAUGGCCUUGCGCCGGCGACGGUUCAUUCAAAUUUCUGCCCUAUCAACUUUCGAUGGUAAGGUAUUGGCUUACCAUGGUUUCAACGGGUAACGGGGAAUUAGGGUUCGAUUCCGGAGAGGGAGCCUGAGAAACGGCUACCACAUCCAAGGAAGGCAGCAGGCGCGCAAAUUACCCAAUCCCAAUACGGGGAGGUAGUGACAAUAAAUACUGAUACAGGGCUCUUUUGGGUCUUGUAAUUGGAAUGAGUACAAUUUAAACCUCUUAACGAGGAACAAUUGGAGGGCAAGUCUGGUGCCAGCAGCCGCGGUAAUUCCAGCUCCAAUAGCGUAUAUUAAAGUUGUUGCAGUUAAAAAGCUCGUAGUUGAACCUUGGGUCUGGCUGGCAGGUCCGCCUCACCGCGUGUACUUGUCCGGCCGGGCCUUCCUUCUGGAGAACCUCAUGCCCUUCACUGGGCGUGUUGGGGACCAGGACUUUUACUUUGAAAAAAUUAGAGUGUUCAAAGCAGGCCUUUGCUCGAAUACGUUAGCAUGGAAUAAUAGAAUAGGACGUGCGGUCCUAUUUUGUUGGUUUCUAGGACCGCCGUAAUGAUUAAUAGGGACAGUCGGGGGCAUCAGUAUUCAAUUGUCAGAGGUGAAAUUCUUGGAUUUAUUGAAGACUAACUACUGCGAAAGCAUUUGCCAAGGAUGUUUUCAUUAAUCAGUGAACGAAAGUUAGGGGAUCGAAGACGAUCAGAUACCGUCGUAGUCUUAACCGUAAACUAUGCCGACUAGGGAUCGGGCGAUGUUAUUUUUCUGACUCGCUCGGCACCUUACGAGAAAUCAAAGUUUUGGGUCUGGGGGAGUAGUCCCACC
This 1071-nucleotide ribosomal RNA is filed under the name Shiraia sp. B02. Its description in RNAcentral is "SSU rRNA". It matches the Rfam family "Eukaryotic small subunit ribosomal RNA", at positions 55 to 1133 of the family's 1831-position model. The record is from RNAcentral. Lineage: Eukaryota; Fungi; Ascomycota; Dothideomycetes; Pleosporales; Shiraiaceae.